This 356-nucleotide transfer-messenger RNA is filed under the name pig gut metagenome. It matches the Rfam family "transfer-messenger RNA". From Rfam's summary of the family: Bacterial tmRNA, also known as 10Sa RNA or SsrA, is named for its dual tRNA and mRNA-like properties. The record is from RNAcentral.
GGGGGCGUAAAGGUUUCGACGGGGGUUUUGAAGUCUGGUAAGCGGGUAGAGCGGGCGAAAGCUCUUUAAACGUCGCACCUAAAAUUAAACGCUAAAUCUAAUACUAGAACUUUAGCUUACGCAGCUUGAUUUAAGCUGUGGCCUGCACGGGUAGGUACCACGGGAUCCGUCAGGUUUUAAUUAGUGGUCAACGUGCGGUGGGAGUUUCCCGGCCUGCCAAACGUAUUAGGGAAUACCGUCCCGGAUAGCCUGUCGGCCGGCGCUUCGGAACGGGAAUCUGAAAAGACCGUCUGCACCCGGAGAAAACCCGAUGGAGAGGCUUUCGGACAGGGGUUCGACUCCCCUCGCCUCCACCA